This 76-nucleotide transfer RNA is filed under the name Astyanax mexicanus (Mexican tetra). It matches the Rfam family "tRNA". From Rfam's summary of the family: Transfer RNA (tRNA) molecules are approximately 80 nucleotides in length. Their secondary structure includes four short double-helical elements and three loops (D, anti-codon, and T loops). Lineage: Eukaryota; Metazoa; Chordata; Actinopteri; Characiformes; Acestrorhamphidae. The record is from Rfam by way of RNAcentral.
GCCCCAGUGGCCUAAUGGAUAAGGCACUGGCCUCCUAAAGCCAAGGGUUUUGUGGGUUCGAGUCCCAUCUGGGGUG